GGGCCGCUAGCUCAAUUGGUAGAGCAGCAGACUCUUAAUCUGCGGGUUCCAGGUUCGAUUCCUGGGCGGCUCACCA
RNAcentral lists this transfer RNA (76 nucleotides) under Pseudomonadota bacterium. Its description in RNAcentral is "tRNA-Lys". It matches the Rfam family "tRNA". From Rfam's summary of the family: Transfer RNA (tRNA) molecules are approximately 80 nucleotides in length. Lineage: Bacteria; Pseudomonadati; Pseudomonadota. The record is from RNAcentral. RNAcentral also lists the same sequence under 5 other names.